Molecule: microRNA precursor, 205 nt
Organism: Oryza sativa Indica Group (long-grained rice)
Lineage: Eukaryota; Viridiplantae; Streptophyta; Magnoliopsida; Poales; Poaceae
Rfam family: MIR812 microRNA precursor family
Source: Rfam
AAAAAGACAAAUCCUGGUUUUCGUGCCCAACGUUUGGCCGUCUAUUUUAUUUGAAAAAAUUAUGAAAAAAAUUAAAAAGACAAGUCACGUAUAAAAUAUUAAUCAUGUUUUAUCAUCUAACAACAAUAAAAAUACAAAUUAUAAAAAAUUUUCAUAUAAAAUGGAUAGUUAAAGUUAGACACGGAAACUCAGGGUUUGUCUUUUU